RNAcentral lists this ribosomal RNA (420 nucleotides) under uncultured bacterium. RNAcentral describes it as "partial 16S ribosomal RNA". It matches the Rfam family "Bacterial small subunit ribosomal RNA", at positions 338 to 755 of the family's 1533-position model. The record is from RNAcentral.
CCUACGGGAGGCAGCAGUGAGGAAUAUUGGUCAAUGGACGAGAGUCUGAACCAGCCAAGUAGCGUGAAGGAUGACUGCCCUAUGGGUUGUAAACUUCUUUUAUAUGGGAAUAAAAUGUGACACGUGGGGGAUGUUGUAUGUACCAUAUGAAUAAGGAUCGGCUAACUCCGUGCCAGCAGCCGCGGUAAUACGGAGGAUCCGAGCGUUAUCCGGAUUUAUUGGGGUUAACGGGAGCGUAGGUGGCUUGUUAAGUCAGUGGGGAAAGUUUGCGGCUCAACCGGAAAAUUGCAGUUGAAACUGGCAGUCUUGAGUACAGUAGUGGUGGGCCGAAUUCGUGUUGUAGCGGUGCCCUGCUUAGCUAUCACGAAGAACUCCGAUUGCGAAGGCAGCUCACUGGACUGCACCUGACACUGAGGCUCG